UGAUAUUUUCAGCACCAGAACAAUGAAGCAAAGAAACAGAUUCCUGAGUUUGUUAGUGAUUUUAUUUAUUAGAUGCAUCUGACCUGUUCUAUUUAUCUCUGAAAUGAGAUCAAAUCUGUGCUAUGUGUUGUCUCCUCUCUGCACUAGAAACAUUUACUUUAUUAUAAUGUUCACUGUAAUGCAUCUUGAUGUUCUUAACAAAUAAAUUAAAUCAAAGAUAUUGGUCAAUAAUGCCAAAUAUGUAAAUUUGUAUUUCAGUCAUUUUUAUACUGGCUUAAAAAUACUUCAAGAGCAAGUAACGUCUAAAUUAACUUUUUUUUUUUUGCUGAUGAGCUGUAUAAAUGAGUGUCUAAUAGUGUUUUAAAUGUGUGUAUUCAUUAUUUUAGCAUUUUGGUGCAUUUUCUUUAAAAAUUAAAAAUUCUGCCUAAAUACCACAGUAUAGCUCCACCUUCAGCUUAAAACAUAGAAUUUGACUCAUUUUGAAUAAAUUUUAGCCAAUGGCUAAAGAGUAAGAUACUACGUAAACCAGUAGAGUACUACGUAGCAGCUCUGUGUCAAAGUUAUAAAAGCAACGAGCGUCUCGGCCACGCCUUGUGGCGAGUUGGGAGUUGGAUUUGCAAGCGAGUGUAGGACGGUUAGCCGUAGUUCAGCAUUAGCAUAUAGCAUUAGCAUAUCCUAGUCUUUAGCAUAGCUUUUAGUGUUAUAAAUACUUAUUUAGUGUUAGUUUGGCUGUUGGAUAUUGUAGUUUAGUUAGUGUUUGGCUGUUAGUGUAAUUGGGAAAGUAGUUCGGGUUUAGUGCUCCAUAUCGUGUUAGUAUGGUGAGUAGGUGUAAUGUAGUAUGGUUGUGGUGGCUCUGUGGGCAUUUUACCCGCGAUUCUGCACGUCUCCGUUUGAAGAGGGAGGCUGUGCCCACCGUGGCUCUUCCGCGAUUUAGAUGCAGCCCACCGACUCUGCUCCCCCACCACGGCGGGCUCCAGUCUGAGGUGAGUAUGCUAAAUAAACGUUUUAACAUCUUCUAAAGACAAUUCCCUACCUAAAUGCAAAGUUUGAGAGACGUGGUUCACUUCCUUUAGCUAGUCAGUCGGCAAUUCUGCAACAGUGGCUCUAACUGACGCAGCACUAGUUGACAGACAGCAUUACAGCGUGAAAUCCAGCUUGUGACCCGGUUCUGUAAGGACUUCUGUUCAGGGGGUCGCAUUUCAGGCUCUCCACAUCAUGUGUGACUGACUUUUACGUUAUAACAACGAUCACACACUAGGAAUGUUAUAAAGCGCCUAUAUAGGACAGUUUCUUUUGUAUAUUAUCUGACUUUAUAAACUCCCAACAACAAUGUGCUUUUUUUUUCAGGCUAAAUCUACCCAAGACAUUGGCUGUCAGACUGAUUUAGCUGCAAGAAUGUACUUGUCCAGGCUGACGUGAAGCCUUACCCGUAGCAAAGGUGAAUUAUUUUUAAUAAUCUUCUAUGUAAACAUUUUAUUAUUACCUUCUAGUUUUAAUUUGUUUUACAGAUUAUUGUUACACGUGAUUUUAUGCUCUUUUGAACAUUUAUAAAUGUGCUGUUUCUUUGUUUUUUACAUAGCCAGCCAGAAUAGAGCUCACAGCCGCAGUGUGUCUUGUGACACAGGGACCAUGACGGAAAUUCAUCUUCCAGAAAGUCCCAGAGCAGCGUCCACACCCCUGAAAAGACCAAGAUGUGAGGUGUCUGCUGUUGAUUCCAGCUUCCACCUCAGUGACAGUGCAAGCUCAGUGAACUGUUCAAGGAGGCUACUGAUUCUGGCCCUGUGACACUUGGUGGUGACGUGUGAGCUGAUUCACCUGGACACUCAGCAAAAUAUGGACUCUACACCAUGAGGCAGGCACACGUUAAUACUUAUAAGAGCACAUAAGCAUGAGGAUGUCCUCACACACCUG
Nothobranchius furzeri (turquoise killifish) is the source of this 1911-nucleotide non-coding RNA. The record is from RefSeq and is a predicted model, not a curated record. Lineage: Eukaryota; Metazoa; Chordata; Actinopteri; Cyprinodontiformes; Nothobranchiidae.